This 448-nucleotide long non-coding RNA is filed under the name Serinus canaria (Common canary). RNAcentral describes it as "lncRNA (ENSSCAG00000003254.1)". The record is from RNAcentral. Lineage: Eukaryota; Metazoa; Chordata; Aves; Passeriformes; Fringillidae.
GGAGAGGAGGAGAUCAGGAGAGAGGCUGGCUCUGAGCCUCACGCCACGUAACAGCGCUUCGGAGCAAAGGCAGGAUUUAUUGGUUUUCCUGCCUAUUGGUGAGGUUGUGAAGUCUCAAGAAAAGUGUCUUGGUCUGGAGAAAGGAAAUUAAACCUGGAAUGGCUGGAUUGGAAGGGAAAACCCCAUUUUUCCAUUACUUUCAAUAGCAUUUCAGUUCCCAGCUCCCCUGCACUCUGCAGCUGGCACCGAGCACAUCCCAGCCUCGGCACCUGCUGAAAGCCUCACAAAACAACCCGUGACAGCAACAAACCCACAUCACCCAGCUGUCCUCCCACAGCUCAGGGAGGGCCAGGCUCUGAUCUAAAUGCUGGGCCAGGAAGGAGAUUUGCCUGUCUGAGGCUGAGCCCUGGGUGGUGGCCAGCAGCCCCAGCUGCGGAUACAGAGUGAU